This 247-nucleotide ribosomal RNA is filed under the name Hypocreales sp. Its description in RNAcentral is "partial small subunit ribosomal RNA". It matches the Rfam family "Eukaryotic small subunit ribosomal RNA", at positions 1349 to 1562 of the family's 1831-position model. Lineage: Eukaryota; Fungi; Ascomycota; Sordariomycetes; Hypocreales. The record is from RNAcentral.
AAGGAGUGGGCUCAGUGUACUGAGCUUAAGGUACGUGCUAAUCCCAGGCGGAAGCCUGCUGCUGUGAAUAGGCCCGACAGGCCGAAGCAUAGCGGGGCGGGCAGCUAUUGCCCGCUGGAAUCCCAGCGCUCUCGGGCGCUGGGGUAUGCUGUGAUGCCCUUAGAUGUUCUGGGCCGCACGCGCGCUACACUGACGGAGCCAGCGAGUACUCCCUUGGCCGAAAGGCCUGGGUAAUCUUGUGAAACUC